CCUAAAUGCCACUAAAUUCUACACACUAAACAUCUGUGCCAUCUGUUGCAGGAGAAGGACUUCAUAUCAGCUAUGUGAUCGGUGGAGUUCUGACCAUCCUGGCUAUUCUGAUCCUCAUCGCUGCUUUGAUAAUUUACAGACAUAAAAAGUCAAAGUUUGCCGACCCUGGAGUGAGCAACCUGACCUACAGCAAUCCCUCAUACCGGACAUCCACACAAGAGGUCAAGAUCGAGGCGUCGCAAAAGCCUCCAAUAUACAACCAGCUUCGAUAUAAGAAAGAGCUCUCUCAUCCCUACAACUCCCUCUCUCCCUUUAUCUUUUGACCCACUUGUCCCGUGGAGAGGUAGUUACACAGCAUGGAGGAGUUGUGUCCUCUGCCGCUUCUCUGUUUUCCUUCACUUCUUCUGUCCGUCACUGCAUGCAACCUGCUAUUCAAAACUAUUUCUCUCUUUGGUGCAGUUUCAGAGCUCUGCGAUCAGAAGCAUGUCAGUGUUUAUAACUACUUAUGGGGUUUGUGUGAAACUGACAUUUCAGCAGGCCGAGAAUCAAAGUGUGAUGUGCUACAUGUAAAUAUCAUUAUGUCAUUCUCAAAUCAAUGAUGAAGCCUUGAAAAAAAUAUUAACAACUAACAGUGCAGGCAGUUGGUAGGCUCCAUGUCAGAACUGUGCAAUACUGGGGUCACGGGUCACGUAGCUGCUCCAGCUGCAGGUAUAUGACUUGCAUUUCCUGGUUGCAACGACAGCGCAGAGACACUAAAGCCACGUUUCCACCAAGCAGUACAUUAUGGUACAGUUCAGUUCAGUUCAGUUCAGU
Non-coding RNA from Epinephelus lanceolatus (giant grouper), 813 nucleotides. The record is from RefSeq and is a predicted model, not a curated record. NCBI's taxonomy places the organism in Eukaryota, Metazoa, Chordata, Actinopteri, Perciformes, Serranidae.